This 301-nucleotide ribosomal RNA is filed under the name uncultured bacterium. RNAcentral describes it as "partial 16S ribosomal RNA". It matches the Rfam family "Bacterial small subunit ribosomal RNA", at positions 509 to 807 of the family's 1533-position model. The record is from RNAcentral.
CAGCCGCCGCGGUAACACGUAGGGUGCAAGCGUUAAUCGGAAUUACUGGGCGUAAAGCGUGCGCAGGCGGUUAUAUAAGACAGAUGUGAAAUCCCCGGGCUCAACCUGGGAACUGCAUUUGUGACUGUAUAGCUAGAGUACGGCAGAGGGGGAUGGAAUUCCGCGUGUAGCAGUGAAAUGCGUAGAUAUGCGGAGGAACACCGAUGGCGAAGGCAAUCCCCUGGGCCUGUACUGACGCUCAUGCACGAAAGCGUGGGGAGCAAACAGGAUUAGAGACCCCUGUAGUCCCUGUCUCUUAUAC